This 1775-nucleotide long non-coding RNA is filed under the name Sus scrofa (pig). RNAcentral describes it as "lncRNA (ENSSSCG00065034496.1)". Lineage: Eukaryota; Metazoa; Chordata; Mammalia; Artiodactyla; Suidae. The record is from RNAcentral.
AGUCUCUGAAGAAGGCAGAGGGCUGGCAUCCUUCUUUGUAGGCGCAACUGGGCAAGAUGCGGUGUCAGCUUGGGAUGGAAGAAGGAGCAAAGAGGCAGCCCUUUCCAGCUUUCAUGCCCUCAGAAUCCCUGGGAACUGGAGAGAAUUCUACUCCUGAUGCCAAUUUUCUUGGCGUUUCUCUGAUGUCUUGGAGAGACUGGCUUUUCUGUCUAAUUUCCCAUCCUUGGCCAUGAGUGCUUUCUGCCCGGAGAUCCUCUCCCUCUUUGUUGCUUCUUUUGGAUUUGCUUUUUCAGCCUCUCAGAGCAGCCCUUGCCUGGGACCUGCCGGAAGUCCAUGCACUGGGGCCGGGAGGGCAGGAAACAGGAGGCAAGAUGGGAAGUUGGGAUGGGCUGAUGUGCAGGUGACCCUGCAGCAGCUGUGACCAUCUCAACUCAAAGAUGAGCAUCAUUUGGGAUCGCAGCCAUCUGUGGGGUACCUUUAGAUGGAUUUUUAGGUGUGAGUAUGGAGUUUAGAAAAUUAUAAGACUGGGCAUCCCUGGUCAGCAAGGGCCGAAGCCCUGACCUUCACGUGACUCUCCCUGGCCUUGUGGACGUUUUCCCAGAUGGCAUGAGAUCCUCCAUGCUUCAGCCAGUGUUCAGCCUUGGUCCCCUCUCCCCCCAUCUCUAAACGCUGGGCCCUCAGGUCUCAGGGAUACAUCAGCCUCAAGUUUACCUCCUCUCUUGGCUUCUGCAGCCCUUUUCUUCCUGUCCAUCCAUCCGAUCUACACACGCUUCACGGUCAAGAUCCAGUUUUGUUUCUUCCUAGUACACGGCUCUGACCGCUUUGCUUUCUCUGACCAACCUCCAGUGGCCACCACGCUCUUCAGCAUGAAUUAAAUACUGUUUCAUUUUUGCCCCUGAUUCAUGGUUUCUCUAAACAGUCGCAUUUUGCCAUUGAGUCACCAUUUCUCUGAACUGUCCCAUUUUCCUUGCUGGUAAAUGAAGGGUUUCGAUGGAACACUUCUAAGGUCCUUGGCAGUUAUAAUAGUCUAGGUUCUAGGUCUGCUCCUCUUGUCUCCUCAUUUGGACUGUAAGCUCCAGGCAGGGAGAGUAUCUUUCCCUCGUUCUGACUUCCUCAAUCUUCCAGCUCAGUGCUGUGCCCCGAGUGAGUAUUCCCUAAGUCUUUUGUUGACCUGAUCUUUUGGCAUACUUUUUCCUACUGGAAAUGGAAGGAAUGAGAGCCUUAGAAGCCUGGUCUUGAGGUCUGGCCCAAAGAGAAGUUGUUCUGUAAUUUGCGGAUAUGGUGAAAACUGCUGUGAUGUCUUAAUACUCAGUGUCCUCUGCUGCAGGAAAUUUACCCUGGGGACUCUGCCCAGCACAGGAAGACAUCAGAUUAAAGGGGGUCAGGGGGACCCAGCAUAUAUAUUUGGUAGCAAAGUAGAAAAGAAUUCUUCGCUUGGUUCAGACCUUGGUUUGGCCGCUUCCCACAAUCACUUGUAUGAGGCUGGGUUGCUCACUGUAAACCCAAACCAAAACAACCACUGUGCUAGCUGCCCUGUGAUGGGAGUUAAAGACUUGUGAAAACAUUCUGUAAAUUGUGAAGCUAAUAGCAGUAGGUGUGAAGUGGCCUUGGAGGCGUGACUUAACAUCUCAAAAGUCAAAAAGUCAAAUGCAGAAACACAGCUUCAAAAGAGAGUAGCAAAGGGCUCUCUUUCUCUCCCUUUUUCACUCUUGGACAAAGACCCACUUCUGUACUCUGGAUGAUACUCUGUAGAGAACCCUCCCACCAAUCUCCGC